UACAGAGGGGGCAAGCGUUGUUCGGAAUUACUGGGCGUAAAGGGCGCGUAGGCGGCCUGCUAAGUCGAACGUGAAAUCCCUGGGCUCAACCCAGGGCCUGCAUCGGAAACUGUCGGGCUUGAGUAUGGGAGAGGUGAGUGGAAUUUCCGGUGUAGCGGUGAAAUGCGUAGAUAUCGGAAGGAACACCUGUGGCGAAAGCGGCUCACUGGACCAUUACUGACGCUGAGGCACGAAAGCCAGGGGAGCAAACCGGGG
This 255-nucleotide ribosomal RNA is filed under the name uncultured bacterium. RNAcentral's name for it is "partial 16S ribosomal RNA". It matches the Rfam family "Bacterial small subunit ribosomal RNA", at positions 524 to 778 of the family's 1533-position model. The record is from RNAcentral.